AUAAAAGCUAUGAUGGAGAAAAGUAAGCAGGACAUGACGUUACAGAGAGAAGGCACCAAGAAGCCGGUACCGUGUUGACAAAUUCAGGCGGUUAUAUGGCUUGGCUGUAAGUGCUUUUAACGGAAUACCAGCCCAAGUUCCCUCCGGAGCUGCGUUCUGAACCAGUGCUAAAGUCAAUUAAGGUUGACUUUGAUUUCCGCUUGCAUGUAUUAUGGCUUUAAGACGGAUUACAGUAGGAACUGCCGGUAAAUACCGUUAAAAUUGCAAUGAGUUUGAAGAUUGAGUUAUCUUUUGGCUGUCAGGGCUUACGGCGGCUGUCUUCAAAAAAACUGGGUGGUACCGCGAAGAAUGCCUUCGUCCCUUUG
RNAcentral lists this non-coding RNA (365 nucleotides) under Ruminiclostridium hungatei. RNAcentral's name for it is "Clostridium hungatei T-box sequence". It matches the Rfam family "T-box leader". Rfam says of the family: Uncharged tRNA acts as the effector for transcription antitermination of genes in the T-box leader family. T-boxes are found upstream of many aminoacyl-tRNA synthetase genes and some amino acid biosynthetic genes usually in Gram-positive bacteria. The record is from RNAcentral. Lineage: Bacteria; Bacillati; Bacillota; Clostridia; Eubacteriales; Oscillospiraceae.